AUACAUGAUAGGAAUAUGAUUUUGGUUUCCACGUGAUUAGAGAGUUUUCCCAUGGCUGGAAGGAAAACCACGCUUGCACCAAAAUUGCUCUCCCAUUAGAUGAUCCGUCUUAUCCACGUUAACAGAUAACGGAAGAGGUAAUGAUACAAGUCUAUAUCAUUGCAAACAGGGUGGUACCGCGAUUUUACUGAAAUCGUCCCUGUG
This 204-nucleotide non-coding RNA is filed under the name Listeria monocytogenes. The record is from RNAcentral. Lineage: Bacteria; Bacillati; Bacillota; Bacilli; Caryophanales; Listeriaceae.